Molecule: unclassified non-coding RNA, 331 nt
Filed under: soil metagenome
Description: partial contains 5.8S ribosomal RNA, internal transcribed spacer 2, and large subunit ribosomal RNA
Rfam family: 5.8S ribosomal RNA (bases 1-120)
Source: RNAcentral
GAUGAAGAACGUAGCGAAAUGCGAUAAGUAAUGUGAAUUGCAGAAUUCAGUGAAUCAUCGAAUCUUUGAACGCACAUUGCGCCCGCCAGUAUUCUGGCGGGCAUGCCUGUCCGAGCGUCAUUUCAACCAUCAAGCCCCGGGCUUGUGUUGGGGACCUGCGUCCGACGCAGGCCCUGAAAACCAGUGGCGGGCUCGCUGUCCACACCGAGCGUAGUAACUAACCUCGCUAUGGAGUGGCGCGGGCGCCUGCCGUAAAACCCCCAAUUUCACAAGGUUGACCUCGGAUCAGGUAGGAAUACCCGCUGAACUUAAGCAUAUCAAAAGCGGAGGA